This 328-nucleotide ribosomal RNA is filed under the name uncultured eukaryote. RNAcentral describes it as "partial 18S ribosomal RNA". It matches the Rfam family "Eukaryotic small subunit ribosomal RNA", at positions 1470 to 1796 of the family's 1831-position model. The record is from RNAcentral.
CCCUUAGAUGUCCUGGGCUGCACGCGCGCUACACUGAUGUGUCCAGUAAGCACCUAACCUAUUCCGAGAGGAGCGGGUAACCUUAGCAAAGCACAUCGUGAUGGGGAUAGAUUAUUGCAAUUAUUAGUCUUGAACGAGGAAUUCCUAGUAAGCACAAGUCAUCAGCUUGUGUUGAUUACGUCCCUGCCCUUUGUACACACCGCCCGUCGCUACUACCGAUUGAAUGGCUUAGUGAGCCUUUGGGAUUGGCAGCCAACACCGGCAACGGUAGCUGGCCGCCGAAAACUUAUGCAAACUUGGUCAUUUAGAGGAAGUAAAAGUCGUAACA